Molecule: ribosomal RNA, 253 nt
Filed under: uncultured bacterium
Lineage: Bacteria
Description: partial 16S ribosomal RNA
Rfam family: Bacterial small subunit ribosomal RNA
Source: RNAcentral
UACAGAGGUCUCAAGCGUUGUUCGGAUUCAUUGGGCGUAAAGGGUGCGCAGGCGGCCAUGUGUGUGAGGCGUGAAAGCCCGGAGCUUAACUCCGGAAUUGCACCUCAAACUACAUGGCUAGAGCAUUGGAGAGGGUAGCGGAAUUCACGGUGUAGCAGUGAAAUGCGUAGAUAUCGUGAGGAACACCAGAGGCGAAGGCGGCUACCUGGACAAUUGCUGACGCUCAGGCACGAAAGCGUGGGGAGCAAAAGGG